RNAcentral lists this ribosomal RNA (480 nucleotides) under uncultured bacterium. RNAcentral's name for it is "partial 16S ribosomal RNA". It matches the Rfam family "Bacterial small subunit ribosomal RNA", at positions 28 to 506 of the family's 1533-position model. The record is from RNAcentral.
GAUGAACGCUGGCGGCGUGCUUAACACAUGCAAGUCGAACGAAGCAUUUAAGACAGAUUCCUUCGGUUUGAAGUCUUUUAUGACUGAGUGGCGGACGGGUGAGUAACGCGUGGGUAACCUGCCUCAUACAGGGGGAUAGCAGCUGGAAACGGCUGGUAAUACCGCAUAAGCGCACAGUACCACAUGGUACAGUGUGAAAAACUCCGGUGGUAUGAGAUGGACCCGCGUCUGAUUAGCUAGUUGGCGGGGUAACGGCCCACCAAGGCGACGAUCAGUAGCCGACCUGAGAGGGUGACCGGCCACAUUGGGACUGAGACACGGCCCAGACUCCUACGGGAGGCAGCAGUGGGGAAUAUUGCACAAUGGAGGAAACUCUGAUGCAGCGACGCCGCGUGAGUGAAGAAGUAGUUCGCUAUGUAAAGCUCUAUCAGCAGGGAAGAUAGUGACGGGACCUGACUAAGAAGCGCCGGCUAAAUACGU